This is a long non-coding RNA of Arachis stenosperma, 1689 nucleotides long. RefSeq lists it as uncharacterized. The record is from RefSeq and is a predicted model, not a curated record. The transcript has 3 exons. NCBI's taxonomy places the organism in Eukaryota, Viridiplantae, Streptophyta, Magnoliopsida, Fabales, Fabaceae.
CCCUAAUUUUUCCCCUUUCCCCAGCCCUGAAGCACGCAGCCCCCACCCCUUCCUUCCAAAACACAAUACACACAAAACAGAGAAAGAAACGUAGAGAUAGAGAGGAAGAAGAGAGCUCAGAAUCGGAGAGGAAGGGACGGCACUACGGCUAGGGCUCGCCACCGCCGCAGUCGCCGUCACGCCUUGCUGUCGUCGCGGUCGCCGUCGCGCCUUGCUACCGUCGCAGUCACCGUCGCGUCUGGCUGCUGUCAGGUUCGGCAUCAUCGUUCUGCCGGCAUCAAGCCUGUUCUGCCGCCUGAGAAGAAUUGCGAGGAGGAGAGAGCACACGUGAAGGGCAACGCCGUCACGAAACCAUCGCCGCCGUCGUCAUGCUCCGCUGCUGCCGCGUCUCACCAAGCAGUCACCGUCGUGCUUCCUGGUCGCCGUCGAAGAAGCUGUCGUUCGGAAGGAGGCAUGGCUGUCGCUGAAUAGAACACGAUGGUAGUGAGAGGAUGCCACCGCUGUUGACGCCGGAGCUCGACAGGGACUGCAGCGCCGUGGCCGAGCUAUUGGGUUGCCGCAGCUGCUGUCGGGAAGGUCAUUGGGGUUUGUCGAGGAUACUGUUCUGGUUCUGAAGCAAUUCAUUCAUGUCACUGCUCAUCUUUGUCCUCUGUGUCCUCUGUUCCGCCUCUGCUUCUAGUUUCUAGAAUCUGAGAAGACGCUACUGCCACUACUGGAACUGUUGGUUUUGCUUCUCUGGCCUUGUUCUGGCUCCACUGUAAACCGUUACCGCCACUGGAGCUGCCCGAAAACCCUGUUGUUGCUACUCCGUUAUUUUAUUAGUGAAGAGUGAUCAGAAAUAAUGCUGCUGCUGUUGACCGGAGGUGCUAAACUGUUGCCGCUACUACUUUGGGAUGAUAUGGCUGCUAUUAAAGUUGUUGUUGAUGAGUGCAGCAUUCCCAAUUUCUAUGGAUUUCGACUGACUGAGUGACUCAGGUUUGAAGACACAAUUUGAAGCUGCGAGCGAUUAGUAGGCUUUCUUUAUGGUUUUAAUUGCUUUCAUAGAAUUCCCUCGCUGUUGUAGCUUUAGUUUUUUUUAUUUUACACAGAGGGAUAGGAUCUCAUUUGGUUUCUUUUGUAUAAGAAUUAUUAUCAAUAAUAUUUAUGUGAUUACUAUUGUUUGUUGGAAACCUUUGAUACAUGUCUUUGAUGAACAAAAACAAAAUUUUCUGGUAUUUUUACUAAAAUUGAAUCGCGAUAUCGAACUAGAGGCUCAAUAGUAAAUAGUUAAUAAAGGAAAGCAGGUUGGUAACGCCUUACUUUUGGUACGAUCAUGACGUUCUAGAAGUUGGGUCGUUACAGAGACUAUGGAGUAUGUAGUUAGUUUAUGAUCUUGAUAUGCUUGUUGAUUUAAUUUUGGCGCGGGAAAGGUCGGAAAUGUUGGGGAUCGUGUUUGUAUAGCAGUCAAAAUUAAAUCUUUUUUGUCCCUUUCCGUGUGGACCAUGUGCAUGCAACGUGACGUAUACAGGCUGAGCAUUGUUGAAAAUGGGUUGAUAUUUGUUGGAUGGUUACUUUAAUAGAAUGUUGGAUGGUUACUUUAAUAGUAUAUUGGAUGGUCAUUCUUCAAAUUUUUUUCUAGUGUCGUCAAUUUCUAAUUAUUGAUGUGUUCCUAGUGCCACUGCAACCAAAGAAUUAGCUGAAACUAUUGUU